Molecule: non-coding RNA, 109 nt
Organism: Acanthosepion pharaonis
Lineage: Eukaryota; Metazoa; Mollusca; Cephalopoda; Sepiida; Sepiidae
Source: the annotation of a GenBank genome assembly
AUGUGUCCAUAUCAUCUUGAAACACCAGUUCCCGUAUGAUAACCAAAGUUAAGCAACAUAAAGCCUGGUCAGUACUUAAAUGGGUGACCACUUAAGAAUAUCAUGUACU